CUCAUUAGCUUUUAUUUUUGUAUAUAAAAGUCUGCAUUCAACUGUGAAAUGACAACCCUCUCAGUCUUCCUCUUCACAGUAGUCAGCUUUUCUCUUUCGCUUAUUAAACUUCUCUUCCAACAUUACCAUUGGUGUCCACAAUCCUUAAAUUUUGGGUCUUGAGACAAAGAACUCCUGGUGAUACUUCAAACAACAAGACUGCUCCAGUGACCCUAGGCUGCUUCACUGUAAAAGCAAACUUCCAGAAACAAAACAGACAAAACUUUGUGACGACAAAUAUCACAGUUGCC
RNAcentral lists this long non-coding RNA (290 nucleotides) under Homo sapiens (human). Its description in RNAcentral is "HSALNT0320075". Lineage: Eukaryota; Metazoa; Chordata; Mammalia; Primates; Hominidae. The record is from RNAcentral.